AGAAAAUUUGAGUUAUUGCAUUUAAAAUUGAUUAUCAAAAUAAAUAAGUUAUUUCCGUUCGAUCAAAAAUUUUACGUGAAAUUUUAAUAUUUUAUCUUUUAAAUAUUUACAAAGUUGCUUUUUUUUAGCUAAAAGUCGCGAAUUUCUCCUCUACUUUAUCAAAAAUCAAAUAAGUAUUAAAGAUAAGAUCAUAAUGAAUGUGUGUUGUAUUUGAAAUAAGUUCGCAGUUAACUUUCGUUCGUGAAAUAAUCCACAAGUUACUUUAAAAAUGAGUCAAGAAAAAGAAAUUUUGAUGGAUACAGAAGCGAAAACUGCAAUAACGGAUCCUCCUCCUUACAAUUCAGUUAUUUCGGUUCAACCUUCAACCACAAAUAAUGAGAGUACUUCAAAAAAACCGAGACCUACAACUGUUAUUCACCUUUACGUUAAUGAAGCUGAUAGAUGCCCAAAGUGUCAAGUUGCUUUUUUGGAAUAUGAUGAAGUGACUUCCGCAAAUCAACAUGCGUGGUUCUUUUGCUUGCUUUUUGCAUGUUGCAUUCUUUCUUGGCUUCCUUACGUAAUGCAAAGUUGCGCAUUUAAACAAGGAAAAUGCAAAAAUUGUGGAUAUGUUGCAAAAGAAAUUUUAAAUACAACCAGAAUCACUAUCUUGUACAUGCUUGGUAUAAUUUUUGCUUUCCUAAUGAUAGUAAGAAUUUCUAUAAUCUUUUCGGAUGAUUCAAAGUAUCCAAUUUAGUUUUUACAUUUUGUGCAUCAGAAAAAAAAAUAUGAAUAAAAGCUUAAUUUUUUUUUUUAAUCAUAAUGAUUAAUUUUUCAUAUAAUUUUAAUAAAUCGGUAAUUUAUGUUUUUAUCAAAAUCAAAGCAAAAAAAAAAAUAUUAAUAAUGAAAAAGUUUUAAAAAAAAUUAAAAAUUAAAUUUUAUUAAUAAAAUUAAAUUUAAAGAAAAUUAAAUAAUUAAUUUUUAAUUAAAUUAAUUUUUUUAAUUAAAUUGAUUUUAUUCCUAAUAAUAAAAGAAUAAAUUCAAGUUUUAAUGAAAAGAAGAAAAAAAAAUUAAUAAAUAAUAUAAAAUUCUAUAAAAUUUUAAAAUAUACAUUACUCAACAUACAAUUACAAUUACAAAUACAAUUUCAUGACGACGCGAUUAUCAAGAAUAUCAAAAACCCAAAAGGUUAUCUGCAAUUUGAUUCAAAAUGCAAUUUGUUUUGCAUUAGAAUUAAGUUGGCAGUUUUCUUUCGAUCGUGAAAUAAUCAACAACUUAUUUUAAAAAUGAGCCAAGAAAAAGAAAUUUUGAUGAAUACAGAAGCAAAAACUUCUGAAACGGACCCUCCUCCUUAUAAUUCAAUUAUUUUGGAUAAACCUUCAACUUUUGAUAGUGAUAUUACCUCUGAAACACCGAAAACUACAACUGUUGUUCAUCUUUACGUCAAUGAAGCUGAUAGAUGCCCAAAUUGUCGGGUUGCCUUUUUGGAAUAUGAUCAAGUUUGUUCUGCGGAUCAGCAUGCGUGGUUCUGUUGCUUGCUUUUUGCAUGUUGCUGUCUUUCUUGGCUGCCGUAUGCAAUAACAAAUUGUGCAUAUAAACAAGGAAAAUGCAAACAAUGUGAAUAUAAGACUACAGAAACUCAAAAACCCAGAAUCGUUCUUUUGUAUAUGAUUGGUUUUUUUAUUGCUGUCUUUAUGAUUCAGAAAAUUAUUUUUGUUUUUUGCAAUAAUUAAUGAGUUUUAAUAAUAUAGUUUUCAAAGAAUUUUGAUUAUACUUAAUUUUUUUAAAAACAAUAAUGGAAUUUUAAAAAUUUAUAAAAUUUGAAUUGUAUUUACAUAAAUAAAAUUAUUUAAAUAAAAUAAAUAAUAUAUUUUUAAA
This is a long non-coding RNA of Culicoides brevitarsis, 1854 nucleotides long. RefSeq lists it as uncharacterized. The transcript has 5 exons. NCBI's taxonomy places the organism in Eukaryota, Metazoa, Arthropoda, Insecta, Diptera, Ceratopogonidae. The record is from RefSeq and is a predicted model, not a curated record.